AUAUUCCUGCUUGGUGCGUAAUGUGUCCUUUUGGACCCACAUUUUUUAAUCGGGACGUUAGUUUCCCUUCUGGUUUGCAGACCUCCCGCCCCCGCUUUGACGGAUGGUGGAUGUUGGGAGCAGUAAAGGACGGGAGCGGCAACCCACCUGCCAUUUUGUGCAGGUCAUAAUCGGAUGCAUACGGCUAAAGCGGGGUGCAU
This 200-nucleotide non-coding RNA is filed under the name Oscillospiraceae bacterium. RNAcentral's name for it is "6S RNA". It matches the Rfam family "6S / SsrS RNA". From Rfam's summary of the family: E. coli 6S RNA was the first non coding RNA to be sequenced, but its function was unknown until recently. It consists of 184 nucleotides that fold into an extended hairpin structure with a large single-stranded internal bulge. Lineage: Bacteria; Bacillati; Bacillota; Clostridia; Eubacteriales; Oscillospiraceae. The record is from RNAcentral.